Molecule: long non-coding RNA, 950 nt
Filed under: Cricetulus griseus (Chinese hamster)
Lineage: Eukaryota; Metazoa; Chordata; Mammalia; Rodentia; Cricetidae
Description: lncRNA (ENSCGRG00015034234.1)
Source: RNAcentral
GAACUUGCUAGCAAGAGUGAGGACAAACAUGUAAAAACCACGUUUCUUCUUCACAUGCAGUAGGAGGCUGCUACAUUCUGGGGACAAUUGGCUGCUGGCAUCUUUCUGCUGUUGAGUUGCUGGAAGAUCAUUUGUUUAUGGAAUUUGUUGUCAGAAGGAACAGUCUGGGGAAGAGAACUUAAGGAGGUUCACUCCUACAAGGAUAGACUCAGACAGGAAAUAAAUUGCUGAAGGAAAGCAUCUUUUGCUUUGCAGUGUAGCCGGAAAGUCAUCUUCCUCCAUGAAGAGCUGGAAGCCUCAGGAGAAAGUGAUGAGAAAGAAUACGAGCAGGAUGGAUUUGAAGCCAGUUAAAAGUCCACCAUGGAUGGGGUCAGGCUUCAGAGAAUUUCCACCACAUUCUGUCUCAGUAGCUACUUCCAGAAAACAGCCUGCAGCUCACAGAAAGUCCUCAAGUGCCUUCUCCUUGUUAGUCAGGGAAGAAUCUUGAUCUAGGAAGAAAUUCCCUUAUUGGCUGUAUUCUGAGUGUCAUGAUACACACUGAACUGAACUCUGAAACUUAGUUGCAGAGAUGGAGGCAUGAAGAUCGAAGGGCUCUGUACCAGGUUGGAGAAACCCACAGAAACAGCUGGCCUGAACAAGGGGGAACACAUCGACCCCAGAUGCUGUCUGGGAGGCCAGUACAGGACUGAUCCAGACCCCUGAACAUGGAUGUCAAAGAGGAGGCCUUGGCACUCUAUGGGGCCCCUGGUAGUGGAUUAGUAUUUUUCCCUGGUGUAAGAAGGGACUUUGAGAGCCCAUCCCACGUGAAGGGAUGCACUCUUGCCCUGGACGCAUGGGGAAAGGCCUAGGCCCAGCCCAGGAUGAUGGGGUGGACUUUGUAGAGCCCCCGUUGAGGGCCCUACCCUGCCUGGGGAGUGGAGGGUGGAUGGGGUGGGGGGUAGGUCGGGGUG